Molecule: ribosomal RNA, 484 nt
Filed under: uncultured bacterium
Lineage: Bacteria
Description: partial 16S ribosomal RNA
Rfam family: Bacterial small subunit ribosomal RNA
Source: RNAcentral
AUUGAACGCUGGCGGAAUGCUUUACACAUGCAAGUCGAACGGCAGCACGGGGGCAGCCCUGGUGGCGAGUGGCGAACGGGUGAGUAAUACAUCGGAACGUGCCCGGUCGUGGGGGAUAACGUAGCGAAAGUUACGCUAAUACCGCAUACGAUCUGAGGAUGAAAGCGGGGGACCUUCGGGCCUCGCGCGAUCGGAGCGGCCGAUGUCAGAUUAGGUAGUUGGUGGGGUAAAGGCCUACCAAGCCGACGAUCUGUAGCUGGUCUGAGAGGACGACCAGCCACACUGGGACUGAGACACGGCCCAGACUCCUACGGGAGGCAGCAGUGGGGAAUUUUGGACAAUGGGCGCAAGCCUGAUCCAGCCAUUCCGCGUGCAGGACGAAGGCCUUCGGGUUGUAAACUGCUUUUGUACGGAACGAAAAGGCUCUGGCUAAUACCUGGGGCUCAUGACGGUACCGUAAGAUUAAGCACCGGCUAACUACGUG